CCUACGGGAGGCAGCAGUGAGGAAUAUUGGUCAAUGGGCGCGAGCCUGAACCAGCCAAGCAGCGUGAAGGACGACGGCCCUACGGGUUGUAAACUUCUUUUAUAAAGGAAUAAAGUGACGUACGUGUGCGUUUUUGUAUGUACUUUAUGAAUAAGGAUCGGCUAACUCCGUGCCAGCAGCCGCGGUAAUACGGAGGAUCCGAGCGUUAUCCGGAUUUAUUGGGUUUAAAGGGAGCGUAGAUGGGUUGUUAAGUCAGUGGUGAAAGACUGCGGCUCAACAGUAAAACUGCCACUAAUACUGGCAGUCUAGAGAACAGAUGAGGCAGGCGGAAUUCGUAGUGUAGCGGUGAAAUGCAUAGAUAUCACGAAGAACACCGAUUGCGAAGGCAGCUUGCUAGGCUGGCACUGACACUGAUGCUCGAAAGUGUGGGUAUCAAACAGGAUUAGAUACCCGAGUAGUC
This 460-nucleotide ribosomal RNA is filed under the name uncultured bacterium. RNAcentral's name for it is "partial 16S ribosomal RNA". It matches the Rfam family "Bacterial small subunit ribosomal RNA", at positions 338 to 795 of the family's 1533-position model. The record is from RNAcentral.